AGUGAACGCUGGCGGUAGGCCUAACACAUGCCAGUCGAACGGCAGCACAGUAAGAGCUUGCUCUUACGGGUGGCGAGUGGCGGACGGGUGAGGAAUACAUCGGAAUCUACUUUUUCGUGGGGGAUAACGUAGGGAAACUUACGCUAAUACCGCAUACGACCUACGGGUGAAAGCAGGGGAUCUUCGGACCUUGCGCGAUUGAAUGAGCCGAUGUCGGAUUAGCUAGUUGGCGGGGUAAAGGCCCACCAAGGCGACGAUCCGUAGCUGGUCUGAGAGGAUGGUCGGCCACACUGGAAGUGAGACACGGUCCAGACUCCUACGGGAGGCAGCAGUGGGGAAUAUUGGACAAUGGGCGCAAGCCUGAUCCAGCCAUACCGCGUGGGUGAAGAAGGCCUUCGGGUUGUAAAGCCCUUUUGUUGGGAAAGAAAAGCAGCAGGUUAAUACCCCGCUGUUCUGACGGUACCCAAAGAAUAAGCACCGGCUAACUUCGUG
This 492-nucleotide ribosomal RNA is filed under the name uncultured bacterium. RNAcentral describes it as "partial 16S ribosomal RNA". It matches the Rfam family "Bacterial small subunit ribosomal RNA", at positions 29 to 507 of the family's 1533-position model. The record is from RNAcentral.